AUAUCCCUAAAAUUUUUAGAAAUCUCUUGAAAUCUUUCCAAAUGUUCUGGUAUCUUUGAAAAAUGUAAAUAGUUUAUUUAUAGAGAACCCUGCCUCUGAGGUUGACUCAAAGGUUAAAGAAGACUCAUCCGUCUAUCCUUCUGCCUGCAUAUAUCCUGAACAUCCAACUAUCCCAGGAAAACCAUCUAGAGUAGUUUGUUUCAAAUUAUUAGCCACAGACCACCUACAUCACAAUAACUCAGGGAGCUUAUAGAAGUGAAGAUUCCUGAAUAUAAAUAUAGUAAUAAUUCAGAUCUGCUGAAUAGACAUCUCUGCUGAAAUCCACAGUUUUCAUAAGCUCCCCCAGAAGAUUCCUGUGUAUAUUAAAUCUAGAAACCAUUAGUCUGAAAUCUCUCAAAAAAUAAAAAUAAAAACUGCUUUCAGAGAGUAGCCCACAAAGUUUCCCAUUCUUCAAGGACAAAUUCCUCCUUCUGUUCACUCUUAAUGCUCUAGUUGCAGUUUACAAUUUUUGUUCUCCUGUAAAGAAUGUUAACUGGUUAUCACCUUCAAUAGUUUCAAUAUGUCCCCCAAAGUUACGUGUUUGAAACUGGCAAUAGUAUUGGGAGGUAGGGCCUAAUGAGGUGAUUAGGUGAAGUCUCUGUCUUCAUGAAAAGAUUAAUCCCAUUAUCUCAGGAGUGUGUUGGUUAUAAAAGCAAGUUUGGCUCCCUCUUUUCCCCAUACACUCUUUUUCCCUUCUGCCUUCUCCUUUGCCAUGGGUGGACACAGCAAGAAGCCCCUCAUCAGAUGCUGGCCCCUUGGUCUUGAAUUUCCUAGCCUCUACAACUAAGCCAAAUAAAUUUGUUUAUUUUAAAUAA
Mandrillus leucophaeus (drill) is the source of this 854-nucleotide long non-coding RNA. RefSeq lists it as uncharacterized. The transcript has 2 exons. The record is from RefSeq and is a predicted model, not a curated record. NCBI's taxonomy places the organism in Eukaryota, Metazoa, Chordata, Mammalia, Primates, Cercopithecidae.